Molecule: ribosomal RNA, 750 nt
Filed under: bacterium QAT21
Lineage: Bacteria
Description: bacterial SSU rRNA
Rfam family: Bacterial small subunit ribosomal RNA
Source: RNAcentral
GCUGAAGCUCCAGCUUGCUGGGGUGGAUGAGUGGCGAACGGGUGAGUAACACGUGAGUAACCUGCCCUCCACUUCGGGAUAAGCACUGGAAACGGUGUCUAAUACUGGAUGUGACAUCAGCCUGCAUGGGUUGGUGUGGAAAGAUUUUUUGGUGGUGGAUGGACUCGCGGCCUAUCAGCUUGUUGGUGGGGUAAUGGCCUACCAAGGCGACGACGGGUAGCCGGCCUGAGAGGGUGACCGGCCACACUGGGACUGAGACACGGCCCAGACUCCUACGGGAGGCAGCAGUGGGGAAUAUUGCACAAUGGGCGAAAGCCUGAUGCAGCGACGCCGCGUGAGGGAUGACGGCCUUCGGGUUGUAAACCUCUUUCAGCCUUGACGAAGCCCUUUUGGGGUGACGGUAGGGGCAGAAGAAGCACCGGCUAACUACGUGCCAGCAGCCGCGGUAAUACGUAGGGUGCGAGCGUUGUCCGGAAUUAUUGGGCGUAAAGAGCUUGUAGGCGGUUUGUCGCGUCUGCUGUGAAAGCCCGGGGCUUAACUCCGGGUCUGCAGUGGGUACGGGCAGGCUAGAGUGUGGUAGGGGAGACUGGAAUUCCUGGUGUAGCGGUGGAAUGCGCAGAUAUCAGGAGGAACACCGAUGGCGAAGGCAGGUCUCUGGGCCAUUACUGACGCUGAGAAGCGAAAGCGUGGGGAGCGAACAGGAUUAGAUACCCUGGUAGUCCACGCCGUAAACGUUGGGCGCUAGGUGUG